GCCUCCUUAUUUUCUCAACCUAAAUGAUGCAUCAGACAUGUCACUUCAAGCCCUGAGCAUGCUGAGUACCAUGAAAGAAACCGCAUGUCUCAGUAGAAAGUUGGGAGAACCUGAGCCUGAAGUUGGGCGAGACGUGGAGCCUGAAUGUCUUCAUUUGUUAAUUGGGGAUAAAAGUACCAACACCAGAGACUCAUUGUGAGUGUUCUUUGAGAUCAGACGUAAGUUCUUAGCACAAGAUCAGUGGUCAAUCACAUUAAUAAAGCAUCAGGACAAAAGCUGGUUAUUUUAAUUCUCUGCAGUUCAAAGCCAGAAUUAGGACAAGACUGCCUUAGGAGAGUUAAAGGGGCAACAGACAAGCUGUAGGAUUCUAAAAUGGCUCUUUAAAGAGAUCAGUAGUGCCCAGGAUAGAAAGAAAAAAAAUGCUGCUAAGACAGAUGAAAUCCCUCUGCAGAGCUCUGUCCCCAGGAGGUGGGAUGGCCACUGCCCCAGCAGGCAGCGUGAGCUAGACGGUCAGAGUCCAAUUCCCACUAUGUCUGCCAGGCAAAUACUUGCCCAAGGACUGCUUAAAAAUAGCAUCAGACGCCACCCACCACCGAAGGUCAGUUUCCAGGAAGGUAGGGUGAGCGGGUGGAAGGUACUGCGCAAGAGGCUCCACACCUGCCCCCGUGGACCCAGAGCUUAAUUUUCAUUUGGUGAUUCCAAUAUGCUGGCAAGGUGAAGAAGCUAGCUGAUCAGCUACAAACAAGGCCCCUGAUUCUAUUCUCACUUAGCACAACCUGAAGAGCAGCUUUUCACUGGAGAAAAGCCUUCUACUAUAUAAACAUCCUUGAAAAUAUAGUCCAGAAGAAAAGACAGUCAUUGGCUCUGCUCCCAAGAUGUGUUGAAAUAGGGGAGAACCAAGGAGAAUUGUCUUACAAUGGAUACAGUAUACAGAAAUGUCUUGCAGAAAUAGAAAUAUCCGCCUAACAAAGAGGAAGGGAUCGACGGUGCCUGUUUUCCUCUAGUUGUUGAAAAUGGAUGAAGGUUUUUAUUGGGCUAUGUGGAACCCUCUUCCUGACAGAUGGAACCAAGUAAAUUCUUAAAAGUGGCAACGCUGAGAUGAAGCUUAUGAAUAUUUUCAAGGCUUUUGAAAAAACACAGGGAACUUUCCUCCUGAAAGCUUGUACCAACACCUACACUGCAGCGUAUGAGAAUACCUGUCCCACCAUGCCUUUACUGUCCAUGUGCUGCUAUCAAUACAUAUCAAUUAGGAAAAAUGGGUGAUUCCCUAGGGACAACUCAGACCAAGAGAAAGGAAUUAGGUUCCAGCUCUGAGAUUUAGCUUAAAGAGGAAAAAAGCAAAGCAACAAAGAACAAAAUUCUUAUCCCCUUGGGCUGCCCCAAAGGAAUUGGACCAGAAGUCCAUACAGGGGGCAUCUAUUUGAAGCCUCCUGGGUCAUUAUUUCACAAAUCUUCCUUUGCACAAUGGACUUUUUUCUCCUCUUACUCGCAUGCUCAUAAACUCUUAAAUUACAUUUACCUUUACUGGGAUAUAAAGGUCAGAUGUAAUUUACCUAAUAGAACCAACUGAUGGAAAUCUAUACAGAGGAAGAGAUAGGCUCCAAAAGCUAAGAACAUUUUGUCCCUGCCUCUGUGCUGCUCUCAGCAUGUUUUAAAUAUGACCCAGCAUUUGUUAACGGAUACCACAUGUCACCAUCUUUAAAUGACCUUAUCCAUCUUAUCACCACAAUUUCAAACUAAGAAAAAAAACCUCCAUCACCAAAUGAUCCUGAAUGGUCCUGUGUGUCAUGUCAGCCAUCAGCAGCGUUGACGUGGUCAGUAAUUCUUGUAGAUAAUUUAUCAUU
This 1844-nucleotide long non-coding RNA is filed under the name Equus caballus (horse). Its description in RNAcentral is "lncRNA (ENSECAG00000054653.1)". The record is from RNAcentral. Lineage: Eukaryota; Metazoa; Chordata; Mammalia; Perissodactyla; Equidae.